This 196-nucleotide ribosomal RNA is filed under the name uncultured bacterium. RNAcentral's name for it is "partial 16S ribosomal RNA". It matches the Rfam family "Bacterial small subunit ribosomal RNA", at positions 1297 to 1500 of the family's 1533-position model. The record is from RNAcentral.
AUUGGAGUCUGCAACCCGACUCCGUGAAGCUGGAUUCGCUAGUAAUCGCGCAUCAGCCAUGGCGCGGUGAAUACGUUCCCGGGCCUUGUACACACCGCCCGUCAAGCCAUGGGAGCCGGGAGUGCCUGAAGGCCGUGACCGCAAGGAGCGGCCUAAGGUAAAACCGGUGACUGGGGCUAAGUCGUAACAAGGUACC